AGGACCUUCACCCAGGAGACCGGGGAUUGUAUCCCGCGUGUCACGUUUACUAAACUCAACUGUGGCUUUCAUAAUUUCCAAA
Molecule: long non-coding RNA, 82 nt
Organism: Etheostoma spectabile (orangethroat darter)
Lineage: Eukaryota; Metazoa; Chordata; Actinopteri; Perciformes; Percidae
Exons: 3
Source: RefSeq, a predicted model, not a curated record